AACGAACGCUGGCGGCAUGCCUAACACAUGCAAGUCGAACGAGACCUUCGGUCUAGUGGCGCACGGGUGCGUAACGCGUGGGAAUCUGCCCUUGGGUUCGGAAUAACAGCGAGAAAUUGCUGCUAAUACCGGAUGAUGACGUAAGUCCAAAGAUUUAUCGCCCAAGGAUGAGCCCGCGUAGGAUUAGCUAGUUGGUGAGGUAAAGGCUCACCAAGGCGACGAUCCUUAGCUGGUCUGAGAGGAUGAUCAGCCACACUGGGACUGAGACACGGCCCAGACUCCUACGGGAGGCAGCAGUGGGGAAUAUUGGACAAUGGGCGGAAAGACCUGAUCCAGCAAUGCCGCGUGAGUGAUGAAGG
This 359-nucleotide ribosomal RNA is filed under the name uncultured bacterium. Its description in RNAcentral is "bacterial SSU rRNA". It matches the Rfam family "Bacterial small subunit ribosomal RNA", at positions 29 to 414 of the family's 1533-position model. The record is from RNAcentral.